RNAcentral lists this small nuclear RNA (103 nucleotides) under Spermophilus dauricus (Daurian ground squirrel). Lineage: Eukaryota; Metazoa; Chordata; Mammalia; Rodentia; Sciuridae. The record is from RNAcentral.
AUGCUUGCUUCAAUAGUCCACAUGCUAAAAUUUAAAUGAUACAAAGAUCACCAUGACCUCUGUGAAAGAUGACAUGUAAAUCCAUGAAGCAUUCCAUACUUUU